This 310-nucleotide ribosomal RNA is filed under the name uncultured bacterium. RNAcentral's name for it is "bacterial SSU rRNA". It matches the Rfam family "Bacterial small subunit ribosomal RNA", at positions 28 to 334 of the family's 1533-position model. The record is from RNAcentral.
GAUGAACGCUAGCGGCAGGCUUAACACAUGCAAGUCGAGGGGCAGCGUGGGGCAGCAAUGCUCUGACGGCGACCGGCGGAAGGGUGCGUAACACGUGAGCGACUUGCCCGUCACAGGGGGAUAACCGGCGGAAACGGCGACUAAUACCCCAUAUGCUGCGAUGCUGCAUGGCAUUGCAAUGAAAGAUUCAUCGGUGGCGGAUAGGCUCGCGGGACAUUAGCUAGACGGCGGGGCAACGGCCCACCGUGGCGACGAUCCGUAGCUGGUCUGAGAGGAUGAUCAGCCACACUGGAACUGAGACACGGUCCAG